RNAcentral lists this long non-coding RNA (3301 nucleotides) under Sus scrofa (pig). RNAcentral's name for it is "lncRNA (ENSSSCG00000060278.1)". Lineage: Eukaryota; Metazoa; Chordata; Mammalia; Artiodactyla; Suidae. The record is from RNAcentral.
AGAACUUUGAAAAGCCUCAUCCAACUACAUGGUCUCCUGAACCCAUUCCACAUCACCCUGGAUUCUAUGGCCAUUAUUUCCUGUUUUCAUCCAGUCUUGGUUUUCCCCAUUAACAUUAUGAGCAGAGAUUUAUCCACAGUGCAGCAAAAUUGCCGUGGUUCAUUUGUUUGAUUACUACAUAACAUUUCAUUAUGUGACUCUACCUUUAAUUCAUUAUAGACAUUUGUUCCCAGGUUUUAAUAUUAUGAAGAUUCUUAUACAUAUCCCCUGCUGUGUAUGUGCAAGAACCCAUCUCAGCUGUCCGUCUAUCAGUGGAAUUGCUAGGUAUUAGUGCACAUAAAGGCCAAACUCUGGAAGACAAUAGCAAACUGUUUUCCAAAGUGAUUGCACUAACUUGCACUCCUUCCCCCACCCCCCAUUUGGUCUCUAUCCUUAGACAACACUCAAACCAGCAGAAUAUAGGAAAACUUAAUGAAAUGAUUUAAUAUGACACAUGUGUAAAUUGGGUGACCAAUGGAAUUGAAGUUUCAAGAUAUACCUCUCAGCGAUGAGGAGAAAGUGGUAAAUGGAUUUGUCCCCCUCUCAACUGAUAGUCACUGGAGAUGCAUCUAGAUAGAUGUUUGCAUUUCUCUCCCUCCACUCCUGUUUUCUUAAUUUUGAAACUGCUUUAUUGUGUGAGUAUCUUGGGUUCCUCUCCAUCAUAGAGUCUGUAGAAAUAUUCUAACCUUUUAUUCCUUGACAAAACUGGAUACCACUCCCUACAAUUCUUUUGUUCUGCACAAAAAAGCAUUAACCCCACCCUCCCACCCACCUUUUCCAAUAGUUGUUUGUCCUUCCUUCUCUGUCAAUUGUCCUCUGUCCAAAGGGUGGCUUUGUGGUUAGAGGCCAGAGAUACCAAAUUAAUUUAUUAUUCUGCAUCCAGAGCUCUUACUUGGGCCUUUAGGUUUGUUAAAAACAUUUCCUGCUGGACACAAAUUGGUGUGAUUUAUUUUAUAGCUAAUCCAAGUAGAGUUGGGCUGUUAGUGUCCUAUUUGUGUCCAAUCUGUCUAAUACUGGGACAGCCAUCCCUGAAAAUGGAUGGUCUCGAGCAGCAGCUGUGAUAGGCCAGUGGCCACUGCCCUCCGCCUCCACUUAGACCCUUCAAUAUUCUUCUGCAUAUCAGUCCACCCAGACAGCAGAGAAAUCUGCCCCCCCCAACCCCAGCAGGUGUGAGGGUCACCUCAGGUUUCCUGGCAGCCCAGUAUUCAGUAUGCUGCUCCUGCCUGCCACUGAGUCUCCUACACUGAGGCAGCCUUAUCAGAUAGCAAGUUUCAUUAUGUGCUGUCCACCAGGGACUCUACUAAAAGCAAUAAAUUCAUUUCACUGUGCUAGUCUCUGGACUAUUAAAGCAUUUUAGUCCUGUUUCUCCUUUAACCUCCCAGGAGCCAAAUAUUCACUCUGACAAAUGCUAUUCAUUACAAAGUUAAGAUGACUUUGACUCUGAUUCUCUCCCAUAUAAUACAAUGAAGACGCUUUGUCCUGGAUUCAUCUACAGCCUGACGGUAUUAGGGAUAAAAAACAUGCCAAGGCAGGCAAUCUUUUCUCCAAAAUGGAUUGAAAUUACCUCUAGCUAGCUAUGCCUUGCUUAGAUAAAGAGUAACUGGGAAAAAAAAAAAGUUUUCUGCUCAUUUUUAAUAUCCUGACCAAUACAUUGCUCAAGCGUGGACAAUCAGAAAAAAAUAAAGUAGAAAAAUGAAACAUCACUGGAAUGUAAAAAAGAUCAAAUCCCUUUCACUUCUAUUUAAACCACAGAUAUUUCCUCCUGCCUUUUCUCCCCAGGCUGAGAGUUAGCAAAUGAACAGGGGAAUUUGGUGGAGUUAUGGAACAUCUCCAGAGCGGGACAUAGGUAAGAGCUUUCUAAGAUCUUCCUGAUUAAUUAAUCUGAGCAGAUAUUAUAGCUAUAUUUGAUUUAUCAUCAGAGGCAGCUGUGAGUGCAAACCAUGCCUGUAACACAUACCAGCACUGGGUAAAUUUUUUAACCUUGUGUGGGGGCCUCUUUCUUCAUCUACAAAAUGGGAGAAAUAGUACCUCCAUUAUAGGUUUAUCGUCAGGACUAAAUGAAAUAGCAUACACAAAUCUCCUAGCCUGGCACAUAACAUAUACAGUAAGAAAAAUUGAAUAUUUAUUUCCUUUUCUUUAUCCUCCCUCCUCUGUGAAGAGCUAGAAAGAGAGGCAGGAGAGGAGAAGAUGAAGAACACAGAGGUAGAUUGUUUUGAGUCUCAGAAAGAAAGCUUUGUCCCAUGAUUUGACUUCAGAGUAUGAGAUCUCUCUUCUGCCGACACUGACGGAAUUAAACUGAAUAACCACAGAAAAUCCGAUCACUGUGUUUGAUGUAGGAAUGAGGUUGCAGAUAGUCCAGAUAAAAAGUGCUGGAGGAAUUUCUUUGUGGUCGGAAGCUGGAAGAAAGCUCUGCAUCCCAUGAGACCAGGCUGGCUCUGGUCUUAAAUGUAACUGAUCACUCUGCCCUCUUUAUGUAUCCUGGGCUUUUAUGACUGUUUGGGGUACCAACUUCCUGCUGAGUUUCAUCCUAACCCUUCCCUUCAUUUCCUUUCUCUUUCACACACCACUCUUCUUGAUUUCCUUGCUCGUUUUCUGCAUGGUUGUAUGCUAGGUACUUUUGCAAACUACCUUGUACCCUAUCUAAUUAAUUUGUUGAUUAAUUAAAACUCGGCUCUCUCCUGCUUUUCUCCCCACAAAUCCACACCAGGCUUUUCCUUUGCAUGCCUGAUGGGAACACUGGGGGCCUGUCAAGUUCUUACAGCUAAAGGCCGGCUGGCCUCAGAACAAAGGGAGGCUUUGUUGCCUCCCCAGUGGUGGCCAGCCCCAUCCCAGAAUAAGGAGAGAUUUGGGCUGAACUUUCCAGAACACUGGAAAAAGCUCUCUCUCCGCCAAGAAAAUAGAAGCCAAAUCAUUCAUCCUCUCACUCAUCCAUUCAAUUAGAGACAUUGCUUUACGAAUAAUCAUUUUUCUAAAAAUGUUCCCAUCCAUUCUCUUUUAGUAGAGUAACUUUAAAAUACCUGAUAUUGUCGGGAGUUUCCAUUGUGGUGCAGCAGAAACGAAUCCGACUAGUAUUCAUGAGGAUGUGGGUUCGAUCCCUGGCCUCACUCAGUGGGUCGGGGAUCUGGUGUCACCGUGAGCUGUGGCAUAGGUUGAAGACACAGCUUGGAUCCAGCAUUGCUGUGGCUGUGACAUAGGCUGGCAGGCAGCUGUAGCUCCGAUUUGACCCCUGCUUAGGAACUUCCAUAUGUCAUGGGUGAGGCCC